GUCGAACGGAAAGGCCCUGCUUGCAGGGUACUCGAGUGGCGAACGGGUGAGUAACACGUGGGUGAUCUGCCCUGCACUUCGGGAUAAGCUUGGGAAACUGGGUCUAAUACCGGAUAGGACCGCACUUUAGUGUGUGUGGUGGAAAGUUUUUUCGGUGUAGGAUGAGCUCGCGGCCUAUCAGCUUGUUGGUGGGGUAAUGGCCUACCAAGGCGGCGACGGGUAGCCGGCCUGAGAGGGUGUACGGCCACAUUGGGACUGAGAUACGGCCCAGACUCCUACGGGAGGCAGCAGUGGGGAAUAUUGCACAAUGGGCGCAAGCCUGAUGCAGCGACGCCGCGUGGGGGAUGAAGGCCUUCGGGUUGUAAACUCCUUUCGCUAGGGACGAAGCUUUUUGUGACGGUACCUAGAUAAGAAGCACCGGCUAACUACGUGCCAGCAGCCGCGGUAAUACGUAGGGUGCGAGCGUUGUCCGGAAUUACUGGGCGUAAAGGGCUCGUAGGUGGUUUGUCGCGUCGUCUGUGAAAUUCUGGGGCUUAACUCCGGGCGUGCAGGCGAUACGGGCAUAACUUGAGUGCUGUAGGGGUAACUGGAAUUCCUGGUGUAGCGGUGAAAUGCGCAGAUAUCAGGAGGAACACCGAUGGCGAAGGCAGGUUA
This 654-nucleotide ribosomal RNA is filed under the name uncultured Actinomycetales bacterium. RNAcentral describes it as "bacterial SSU rRNA". It matches the Rfam family "Bacterial small subunit ribosomal RNA", at positions 61 to 728 of the family's 1533-position model. The record is from RNAcentral. Lineage: Bacteria; Bacillati; Actinomycetota; Actinomycetes; Actinomycetales.